RNAcentral lists this ribosomal RNA (472 nucleotides) under uncultured Methanomicrobiales archaeon. RNAcentral describes it as "bacterial SSU rRNA". It matches the Rfam family "Archaeal small subunit ribosomal RNA", at positions 871 to 1337 of the family's 1478-position model. The record is from RNAcentral. Lineage: Archaea; Methanobacteriati; Methanobacteriota; Methanomicrobia; Methanomicrobiales.
AGACGGGGGGCACCACAACAGGUGGAGCCUGCGGUUUAAUCGGACUCAACGCCGGGAAACUCACCAGAUAAGACAGCUGAAUGAUAGUCGGGCUGAAGACUCUACUUGACUAGCUGAGAGGAGGUGCAUGGCCGUCGUCAGUUCGUACUGUGAAGCAUCCUGUUAAGUCAGGCAACGAGCGAGACCCACGCCAACAGUUGCCAGCUCGUCCUCCGGGAUGGUGGGGACACUGUUGGGACCGCCUCUGCUAAAGAGGAGGAAGGAAUGGGCAACGGUAGGUCAGCAUGCCCCGAAUUAUCUGGGCUACACGCGGGCUACAAUGGGUGGGACAAUGGGUAUCGACACCGAAAGGUGAAGGCAAUCUCCUAAACCCAUCCGUAGUUCGGAUUGUGGGCUGCAACUCGCCCACAUGAAGCUGGAAUCUGUAGUAAUCGUGUCUCAAAAUGGCACGGUGAAUAUGUCCCUGCUCCUU